This 87-nucleotide transfer RNA is filed under the name Rhodospirillaceae bacterium. RNAcentral's name for it is "tRNA-Leu". It matches the Rfam family "tRNA". From Rfam's summary of the family: Transfer RNA (tRNA) molecules are approximately 80 nucleotides in length. Their secondary structure includes four short double-helical elements and three loops (D, anti-codon, and T loops). The record is from RNAcentral. Lineage: Bacteria; Pseudomonadati; Pseudomonadota; Alphaproteobacteria; Rhodospirillales; Rhodospirillaceae.
GCGGGUGUGGUGGAAUUGGUAGACACGCGAGAUUUAGGUUCUCGUGUCCGUAAGGACGUAGGGGUUCAAGUCCCUUCACCCGCACCA